UACGUAGGGUGCAAGCGUUGUCCGGAAUUAUUGGGCGUAAAGAGCUCGUAGGCGGUCUGUUGCGUCGGCUGUGAAAACCCGAGGCUCAACCUCGGGCCUGCAGUCGAUACGGGCAAACUAGAGUGUUGCAGGGGAGACUGGAAUUCCUGGUGUAGCGGUGAAAUGCGCAGAUAUCAGGAGGAACACCGGUGGCGAAGGCGGGUCUCUGGGCCGAUAUUGACGCUGAGGAGCGAAAGCGUGGGGAGCGAACAGG
RNAcentral lists this ribosomal RNA (253 nucleotides) under uncultured bacterium. Its description in RNAcentral is "partial 16S ribosomal RNA". It matches the Rfam family "Bacterial small subunit ribosomal RNA", at positions 524 to 776 of the family's 1533-position model. The record is from RNAcentral.